RNAcentral lists this long non-coding RNA (236 nucleotides) under Capsella rubella. RNAcentral's name for it is "long non-coding RNA (CRUB_LNC005002)". The record is from RNAcentral. Lineage: Eukaryota; Viridiplantae; Streptophyta; Magnoliopsida; Brassicales; Brassicaceae.
CCUUCUGAAGUGAACUUUGUUGCGUCAUUUCCAAGACUUUUCUCAUGCUAUAAAAUACUAACACAAUUACACAAAGCUUUAAAUAUGUACACAUUAAAAUGUAAAAAAGUGAGGAGCUUUUGUGAAGCCAACCAUUUCUUCAAAAUAUCUUACGCAGAGUAGUGAAGUCUCAAAAACGAUAACCUUCUUUCCACUUUCAAAAAAAAAAAAAAAAUAGAUAGCAUUUUACAGUUGAC